CCAGACAGAAGCAAAGCUUCUGUCUCUCAGAUGGAGUCCUGGGCCUUGAUGCCUCAGCCGGCCCCCCAGAGGUUCCACUCCCCACAGGCUAGAGCGUAUAUAACCCGGUAAAGCGAAUGCUCAACCCAGCAUUCGACUCAUCUACAAAGAAAACCUUUUUUUUUCCCAUCUUUAUGUCUAACUUGAUAUAAAUGAAUGUCUUCCUUAGGAAAACAUCUGCGUUCUGUCUUUUUACAGCAAGUCCCUGGAGUUUUCUGGGUACUCUUGUAACUGGAUUUUGGGAAAGGAGGGUAACCAUUCAAUAGAAAAAGGGACUUGCGGUUCCACAGACUUACACACGUGGUGAAGAUGCCCGAGGCCCGUGGGAAGGCACUGGUUCUCUUAGGUUAG
This 390-nucleotide long non-coding RNA is filed under the name Bos taurus (domestic cattle). Its description in RNAcentral is "long non-coding RNA NONBTAT012094". The record is from RNAcentral. Lineage: Eukaryota; Metazoa; Chordata; Mammalia; Artiodactyla; Bovidae.